RNAcentral lists this ribosomal RNA (253 nucleotides) under uncultured bacterium. Its description in RNAcentral is "partial 16S ribosomal RNA". It matches the Rfam family "Bacterial small subunit ribosomal RNA", at positions 524 to 776 of the family's 1533-position model. The record is from RNAcentral.
CACGUAGGAGGCGAGCGUUGUCCGGAAUCAUUGGACGUAAAGAGCGCGCAGGCGGCCCGGCAAGUCGGGUGUGAAAUCCCGGGGCUCAACCCCGGGACUGCAUUCGAUACUGUCGGGCUAGAGGUAGGUAGGGGAGAUCGGAAUUCCUGGUGUAGCGGUGAAAUGCGCAGAUAUCAGGAGGAACACCGGUGGCGAAGGCGGAUCUCUGGGCCUUACCUGACGCUCAGGCGCGAAAGCUAGGGGAGCGAACAGG